Molecule: ribosomal RNA, 393 nt
Filed under: uncultured bacterium
Lineage: Bacteria
Description: partial 16S ribosomal RNA
Rfam family: Bacterial small subunit ribosomal RNA
Source: RNAcentral
AUACGGAGGACGCGAGCGUUAUCCGGAUUCAUUGGGUUUAAAGGGUGCGCAGGCGGCCGUGCAAGUCAGCGGUGAAAGCCCGGGGCUCAACCCCGGAAGUGCCGUUGAUACUGCAUGGCUGGAAUGCGGUCGAGGCGGGCGGAACGUGGCGUGUAGCGGUGAAAUGCGUAGAGAUGCCACAGAAAGCCGAUAGCGGAGGCAGCUCGCCAGGCCUGCAUUGACGCUCGGGCACGAAAGCGUGGGGAUCGAACAGGAUUAGAUACCCUGGUAGUCCACGCCGUAAACGAUGGGCGCUCGUCGUCGGCGGCAGACAGUCGGCGGCCAAGCGAAAGCGAUAAGCGCCCCACCUGGGGAGUACGGUCGCAAGGCUGAAACUCAAAUGAAUUGACGGGG